Long non-coding RNA from Calidris pygmaea (Spoon-billed sandpiper), 2351 nucleotides. NCBI's taxonomy places the organism in Eukaryota, Metazoa, Chordata, Aves, Charadriiformes, Scolopacidae. The record is from Ensembl.
UGAAGGGGCGGGGUUAGAGGGGGUGGGGUUAAGGGGAUUUGGGGAAAUUUCAGGGGAAUUUGGGGAGAAUUGGGCAGAAUUAAGGAGAUUUGGGGAAAUUUCAAGGGGGAUUCGGGGAGAAUUGGGCAGAAUUGGGCAAGAAUGGGCAGAAUUAAGGGGAUUGGGGGAAAUUCGAGGGGGAUUUGGGCAAAAUUGGGCACAAUUAAGGGGAUUUGUGGAAAUUCGAGGGGGAUUUGGGCAAAUUUGGGCAGAAUUAAGGGGAUUUAUGGAAAUUCGAGGGGGAUUUGGGCAAAAAUGGGUAGAGUUAAGGGGAUUUGGGGAAAUUCAAGGGGGAUUUGAGCAGAAUUGGGCAGAAUUAAAGGGAUUUGGGGAAAUUUGAGGGGGAUUUGGGCAAGAAUUGGGCAGAAUUAAGGGGAUUUGUGGAAAUUCGAGGGGGAAUUGGGCAAGAAUUGGGCACAAUUAAGGGAAUUUGGGGAAAUUCGAAGGGGGUUUGGGGAGAACUGGGCACAUUUGGGCAAAAAUGGGCAGAGUGAAAGGGAUUUGGGGGAAAUUCGAAGGGGAUUGGGGCAAAAUUGGGCAGAAUUAAGGGGAUUUGGGGAAAUUCGAGGGGGAUUUUUGCAAGAAUUGGGCAGAAUUGGGCAGAAUUAAGGGGAUUUGUGGAAAUUUGAGGGGGAUUUGGGCAAAAUUGGGCACAAUUAAUGGGAUUUGGUGAAUUUCAAAGGGGAUUUGGGGAGAACUGGGCACAUUUGGGCAAAAAUGGGCAGAGCUAAAGGGAUCUUGGGGACAUUUGAGGGGAUUUGGGCCACAGCACGGGAAUAGGUCGGCUGUGGGUGGGUGGGGCUUGUAUGGGCGUGUCUGAGGGGGCGUGUCCGUGUGAGGGGGUGUGUCCAUGGUCGUCCCCGCCUUCCCCCCCCCCCCCAGGGGACCUUCACACCGGCCAGUGACGCCUGGGCUUUUGGGGUGACGCUGUGGGAGGUGCUGACGCGGUGCCGCGAGCAGCCCUACGGCCGCCUCAGCGACGAGCAGGUCAUCGCCAACGCCGGGCACCACUUCCGCGCCCAGGGCCGCCAGGAGUACCUGCCCUGCCCCCCGGGCUGCCCGGCGGCGCUGCACGGGGUGAUGCUGCGCUGCUGGGCCCGCGAUGCCGCCGACCGCCCGUCCUUCGGCCUCCUGCACCGCCUGCUGCGCGACCACACCGUCCUGGCCUGACCUUCCUCCUCCUCAUCCUCCUCCAUCAUCCUCACUGUCCUCCUCCUCCUCACCAUCCUCCUCCUCCUCCGUCAUUCUCAUCAUCCUCCUCCUCACCACAGCAGCCGUCAUCAUCCUCCUCACCAUCCUCAUCCUCCUCUUCCUCCUCUUCACUACAGCAGCUCUCAUCACCCUCCUCCACCAUCAUCCUGACCAUCCUCAUCCUCACCAUCUUCCUCCUCUCCAGAGCACACCUCAUCAUCCUCUUUCUCCUCCAUCGUCCUCACCAUCCUCCUCCUCCUCCAUCAUCUUCAGCAUCAUCCUUACCAUCCUCAUUCUCACCAUCAGCAUCCUUCCUCCCUCUUUCAGCCUCCCUCUUCAUCCUCCUCCUCCUCAAUAGAAUCAUCCUUCAUCCCACCUCAUCCUCCUCCUUCAUUGUCCUUCAUCUCUCCUUCAUCUUCCUUCUCCUGCUUUAUCGUCCUCCUCAUCAUCCUUUGUCCCUCCUCCUCUGCCAUCCACCUCCUCCUUCAUCCUCCCUCUCAUGCUUCAUCCUCCUUAUUGCUCUCCUCCUCAUCCCUCCUUCAGCCUUCGUCUUCCUGCUCCUUCUCUUUCACUUCCUUCUCCUUCAUCUUCCUCAUCAUCGUCCUCAUUCUUGCUCCUCCUUCAUCUUCCCCCUCCUUCUUCUCUUCCUCCUCCUCCAUCAUCUUCCUCUCUUCCUUCAUCUUCCUCCUCCUCCUUCAUCUUCCUCUUCACCCAACACUGGAAGCACCCUACACUACUGACACGGGACCCCCCUCACCCCUGGGACCACCCCAACCCCCUGGGACCACACUGGAUGCCCAGGUUCCCCCCUAGACCCAUCUCCACUCGACACCCUCAUUAGUGGGGGGCCAAUUAGCGCCGGUGGUAGCGGGGGAGGGGUGGGGGCUGUGGCGGGGGAGGGGCUGUAAAUAUUUGGUGCCGAAACGGAGAUUUUUACACUAAUAUAUAGAUGUUUUGGGGGUCGUUUGUGUCUGUCUCCUCUGUGUGAGGGUGACCCGGACACCUGGGUCCUUUCUAGGGUGCCCCAGAGGCCUGGGUCUCCCCUGGGGGUGCCCAAAUGCCUGGGUCCCCCCCUUGGGGUGCCCGGAUGCCUGGGUUCCCUCCAGGGGUGUCCGAACACC